RNAcentral lists this ribosomal RNA (334 nucleotides) under uncultured bacterium. RNAcentral describes it as "partial 16S ribosomal RNA". It matches the Rfam family "Bacterial small subunit ribosomal RNA", at positions 338 to 689 of the family's 1533-position model. The record is from RNAcentral.
CCUACGGGUGGCUGCAGUGGGGAAUAUUGCACAAUGGGGGAAACCCUGAUGCAGCAACGCCGCGUGAGUGAAGAAGUCAUUCGUGAUGUAAAGCUCUAUCAGCAGGGAAGAAAAUGACGGUACCUGACUAAGAAGCACCGGCUAACUACGUGCCAGCAGCCGCGGUAAUACGUAGGGGGCAAGCGUUAUCCGGAUUUACUGGGCGUAAAGGGGGCGUAGACGGCGACGCAAGUCUGAAGUGAAAUGCCAGUGCUCAACACUGGAACUGCUUUGGAAACUGUGUGGCUAGAGUGGAGGAGAGGUAAGGGGAAAUCCUAGGGUAAGGGGGAAAUGC